Molecule: transfer RNA, 71 nt
Filed under: Medicago truncatula (barrel medic)
Lineage: Eukaryota; Viridiplantae; Streptophyta; Magnoliopsida; Fabales; Fabaceae
Description: tRNA-OTHER
Source: RNAcentral
GACUUUCUAGCUCAGUUGGUAGGACAAUGCAUUAUUAUAUGCAGAGGUUGGGGUUCGAACCCCGACACCCC